GACGAACGCUGGCGGCGUGCUUAACACAUGCAAGUCGAGCGGUAAGGCCCUUUCGGGGGUACACGAGCGGCGAACGGGUGAGUAACACGUGGGUGACCUGCCCUCAGCUCUGGGAUAAGCCUGGGAAACCGGGUCUAACACCGGAUAUGACUCCAUGACGCAUGUUGUGGGGUGGAAAGCCUUGUGCGGCUGAGGAUGGGCCCGCGGCCUAUCAGCUUGUUGGUGGGGUGAUGGCCUACCAAGGCGACGACGGGUAGCCGGCCUGAGAGGGCGACCGGCCACACUGGGACUGAGACACGGCCCAGACUCCUACGGGAGGCAGCAGUGGGGAAUCUUGCGCAAUGGGCGAAAGCCUGACGCAGCGACGCCGCGUGAGGGAUGACGGCCUGG
This 390-nucleotide ribosomal RNA is filed under the name uncultured bacterium. Its description in RNAcentral is "bacterial SSU rRNA". It matches the Rfam family "Bacterial small subunit ribosomal RNA", at positions 28 to 419 of the family's 1533-position model. The record is from RNAcentral.